Zingiber officinale is the source of this 1361-nucleotide RNA transcript. It is a transcript of the gene named translation initiation factor IF3-2, chloroplastic-like, with no coding region annotated. NCBI's taxonomy places the organism in Eukaryota, Viridiplantae, Streptophyta, Magnoliopsida, Zingiberales, Zingiberaceae. The transcript is spliced from 10 exons. The record is from RefSeq and is a predicted model, not a curated record.
CGACGGAGUCUCAAUUGGGCGCGUUGGUGUGGAUAAGAAAUAGCUAGCUGCGCUUGCUCUCCUCUCCACGAGCUCUCUUCCUCUUUCUCUUCUUCUUCCCUUCUCCGACGGAACACGAAGAAGCGAAUAAGCAGCCGCAUAGCUUGGAUUCCCCCUCCUCCUCCGUUGCUGUCGAGGUUUAAUCCGAGCAAAAGCAUGGCGAGAAUCGCCAUCUGUUCCUUCAAUCCCUCGCCUUCCUUGUCAUCCGCCGCCUCCGGCCCAUUCAAGCGCAUCUCGGCUCCGCCGUUCCUCCUCCCGCUCAAAUUCUCCCAGAUUCGGUUCAGGGCGCGUCGCUCUCUCGUGGCCGUGGUCGCGCGAUACGGGGGCGGGGGCUACCGCCCUGGUCCGUCCCGGAGGCGGUCCGGAGAUAAUCGCGUCGCUGCGGACCCCGACUAUGACCCUUCGCUCGACCUGGAUAGGCUCAAUUCAACUUCUGUAAGGUUGCUAGACGAGCAGCAAAAUAUGCUCGGUGUAGUGUCGAUUGAUGAAGCUGUACGAAUGGCAAAUGAUGCUGAACUUAUCCUGGCAAUUUUGUCUGCGGAUGCUGAUCCUCCUGUGCUCAGGCUUUUUGACACUUCAGAUUAUCAAAAACAUAAAUAUGAGCAGCAAAAGAAGAAAAGGGUGCAACAAAAGAGAUCAGCUGCAAGCCGCGUCAACAUUAAGGAAUUGAAAAUGGGGUACAAUAUUGAUUCCCAUGAUUACUCAGUGCGGUUAAAAGCUGCCAAUAAGUUUCUUAAAGAUGGUGAUAAGGUGAAAAUCAUUGUUAACUUGAAAGGCAGAGAAAAUGAAUUCAGGAAUAUUGCUAUUGAAUUGCUCCGACGCUUUCAAAGUGAUGUCGGGGAGUUGGCAACUGAGGAGAGCAAAAACUUCAGCGAAAGAAACAUCUUCAUGGUUCUCAUGCCAAACAAAGCAAUUGUUCAGAAAACACAGGAGCAGUCAAAGAAAAAGGAAAAGCCAGUUCCAGAAGUUUCCGCAAGUGUUUAGCCGCACCAGGACACUAAUUGAGAUUCAUAGCAAUAAGUUCGUAUCUUUCUUUCCUAUCAGUUGUUUUGGCUACUCAUCACACUGGAUUAGCUAUCGAUCCACACAACAUUGACAGUGUCUUUUCAUACACAGACAGUAGAAUCUUCUUGCGGCAAAAGGUCCAUUCGUGAUUAUGGAAACGAAUCACAGUUGUUGCUUAAAGAUGCCGAAAAGUUAAUCUGAGUAUCAUAGAGGAUUAAUGCAGCUUGUUCAUUAUAUUUUACAAUCACGAUUUUCAGUCAUCUGGAGAAAUGUAUUACUUACAUUAUCAAUGAAAAAAGCUAUGGCAUUUCGAUUCU